This 76-nucleotide transfer RNA is filed under the name Nitrosomonas sp. RNAcentral describes it as "tRNA-Phe". It matches the Rfam family "tRNA". Rfam says of the family: Transfer RNA (tRNA) molecules are approximately 80 nucleotides in length. Their secondary structure includes four short double-helical elements and three loops (D, anti-codon, and T loops). Further hydrogen bonds mediate the characteristic L-shaped molecular structure. tRNAs have two regions of fundamental functional importance: the anti-codon, which is responsible for specific mRNA codon recognition, and the 3' end, to which the tRNAs corresponding amino acid is attached (by aminoacyl-tRNA synthetases). tRNAs cope with the degeneracy of the genetic code in two manners: having more than one tRNA (with a specific anti-codon) for a particular amino acid; and 'wobble' base-pairing, i.e. permitting non-standard base-pairing at the 3rd anti-codon position. Lineage: Bacteria; Pseudomonadati; Pseudomonadota; Betaproteobacteria; Nitrosomonadales; Nitrosomonadaceae. The record is from RNAcentral.
GGCCAAGUAGCUCAGUUGGUAGAGCAGAGGACUGAAAAUCCUUGUGUCGACGGUUCGAUUCCGCCCUUGGCCACCA